This 1453-nucleotide ribosomal RNA is filed under the name uncultured organism. RNAcentral's name for it is "SSU rRNA". It matches the Rfam family "Bacterial small subunit ribosomal RNA". The record is from RNAcentral.
GAUGAACGCUAGCUACAGGCUUAACACAUGCAAGUCGAGGGGCAGCAUGGUCUUAGCUUGCUAAGGCCGAUGGCGACCGGCGCACGGGUGAGUAACACGUAUCCAACCUGCCGUCUACUCUUGGACAGCCUUCUGAAAGGAAGAUUAAUACAAGAUGGCAUCAUGAGUCCACAUGUUCACAUGAUUAAAGGUAUUCCGGUAGACGAUGGGGAUGCGUUCCAUUAGAUAGUAGGCGGGGUAACGGCCCACCUAGUCUUCGAUGGAUAGGGGUUCUGAGAGGAAGGUCCCCCACAUUGGAACUGAGACACGGUCCAAGCUCCUACGGGAGGCAGCAGUGAGGAAUAUUGGUCAAUGGGCGAGAGCCUGAACCAGCCAAGUAGCGUGAAGGAUGACUGCCCUAUGGGUUGUAAACUUCUUUUAUAAAGGAAUAAAGUCGGGUAUGCAUACCCGUUUGCAUGUACUUUAUGAAUAAGGAUCGGCUAACUCCGUGCCAGCAGCCGCGGUAAUACGGAGGAUCCGAGCGUUAUCCGGAUUUAUUGGGUUUAAAGGGAGCGUAGAUGGAUGUUUAAGUCAGUUGUGAAAGUUUGCGGCUCAACCGUAAAAUCGCAGUUGAUACUGGAUAUCUUGAGUGCAGUUGAGGCAGGCGGAAUUCGUGGUGUAGCGGUGAAAUGCUUAGAUAUCACGAAGAACUCCGAUUGCGAAGGCAGCCUGCUAAGCUGCAACUGACAUUGAGGCUCGAAAGUGUGGGUAUCAAACAGGAUUAGAUACCCUGGUAGUCCACACGGUAAACGAUGAAUACUCGCUGUUUGCGAUAUACAGCAAGCGGCCAAGCGAAAGCGUUAAGUAUUCCACCUGGGGAGUACGCCGGCAACGGUGAAACUCAAAGGAAUUGACGGGGGCCCGCACAAGCGGAGGAACAUGUGGUUUAAUUCGAUGAUACGCGAGGAACCUUACCCGGGCUUAAAUUGCAGAUGAAUUACGGUGAAAGCCGUAAGCCGCAAGGCAUCUGUGAAGGUGCUGCAUGGUUGUCGUCAGCUCGUGCCGUGAGGUGUCGGCUUAAGUGCCAUAACGAGCGCAACCCUUGUUGUCAGUUACUAACAGGUUCUGCUGAGGACUCUGACAAGACUGCCAUCGUAAGAUGUGAGGAAGGUGGGGAUGACGUCAAAUCAGCACGGCCCUUACGUCCGGGGCUACACACGUGUUACAAUGGGGGGUACAGAGGGCCGCUACCACGCGAGUGGAUGCCAAUCCCAAAAACCUCUCUCAGUUCGGACUGGAGUCUGCAACCCGACUCCACGAAGCUGGAUUCGCUAGUAAUCGCGCAUCAGCCACGGCGCGGUGAAUACGUUCCCGGGCCUUGUACACACCGCCCGUCAAGCCAUGGGAGCCGGGGGUACCUGAAGUGCGUAACCGCGAGGAGCGCCCUAGGGUAAAACUGGUGACUGGGGCUAAG